RNAcentral lists this ribosomal RNA (253 nucleotides) under uncultured bacterium. Its description in RNAcentral is "partial 16S ribosomal RNA". It matches the Rfam family "Bacterial small subunit ribosomal RNA", at positions 524 to 776 of the family's 1533-position model. The record is from RNAcentral.
UACGUAGGGGGCUAGCGUUGUCCGGAAUCAUUGGGCGUAAAGCGCGUGUAGGCGGUCCGGUAAGUCCGCUGUGAAAGUCGGGGGCUCAACCCUCGGAUGCCGGUGGAUACUGUCGGGCUUGAGUACGGAAGAGGCGAGUGGAAUUCCUGGUGUAGCGGUGAGAUGCGCAGAUAUCAGGAGGAACACCUAUGGCGAAGGCAGCUCGCUGGGACGUUACUGACGCUGAGACGCGAAAGCGUGGGGAGCGAACAGG